GCCUGUGGCCAUACCACCCUGAGUGUGCCUGAUUGCAUCUGAUCUCAUGAAGCUAAGCAGGGUCAGGCCUGGUUAGCACUUGCA
This 84-nucleotide ribosomal RNA is filed under the name Microcebus murinus (gray mouse lemur). The record is from RNAcentral. Lineage: Eukaryota; Metazoa; Chordata; Mammalia; Primates; Cheirogaleidae.